This is a long non-coding RNA of Megalobrama amblycephala (Wuchang bream), 674 nucleotides long. RefSeq lists it as uncharacterized. Lineage: Eukaryota; Metazoa; Chordata; Actinopteri; Cypriniformes; Xenocyprididae. The transcript has 4 exons. The record is from RefSeq and is a predicted model, not a curated record.
AGGCGCAUGCGCACUCGUGAAGCAAAGUCAGAAGACUCGCGUGCUGUCAUUGCAAGCUUUUACGCAUUUCAAAAAGGAAUAAUUCGUGAAUUUCUCUCAUUUGCAGAUGAGGAUAUAACAGUAAAACGCUGUGAAGAGCAAGCUCCAAAUUGGCGCCACCUCCUGGUAGAACACUGGAGGCGCUCAGGUCAAGAAGAUUCUCAACUGAGGGGAAAAUCAUUCUCAGCGGCAUAUCUCAUAUACGACACCAACGAGCGACUGAGAAGAAACAAACAAACAUCGGAAUGCUCACCUUUGUGAGUCAUCAUCUUUCCUCUCGCCUGUCCACAUUGCUCUGUUUUCCACAGCAAAGGAAGACAACAGGUUGCAGAAGAGCCCCGUUCCACUACGUGUCGGGUUCAGCAUUGGAGGUGGUGUACAGUGAGGUACAGUUCCUUCCCAGUUCUCCAUGAGCUCUCUACUCAGCUGGAUCACACUAUUGAAAGGCACUCCAGUAUAUACGGAACCUGGAACAUUCUACAUGAGGCAAAAGGAAAAAAAAAACAAAAUUGCAUAUGACAGACCUGAGGCCAUGUCAUGUGAUCUUCAGACGUCCCAGGCUCGUGACCCAGAUGCUGCUGCACGCAGGACUGAGGGUGAUCUUGAGCAAGUGUAUGGUUGAGGGACAUUUGCAG